This is a non-coding RNA of Hydra vulgaris (swiftwater hydra), 906 nucleotides long. Lineage: Eukaryota; Metazoa; Cnidaria; Hydrozoa; Anthoathecata; Hydridae. The record is from RefSeq and is a predicted model, not a curated record.
AUUUGCAGCUGUUUAGCUAAAAAAUGUUAAUCGGAAAAAGCAAAAGUGGAUGGCGUGGUGCCAGUAAGAUGGUAUCGAUAUGAUAUAGUUUCAAUUAAGUUAGUCGCAGACGAAAAAUAAAACCUGUAAACAAUUUCUCUCUAUAUUAACUUAUUCAAGUGCCAGUGAAACAAACAAUAGAAAAGAGGAAGCAUUUAAACUGUUUUCAAAACUUUUGGUUUGAAUACAAAAGACCAAGUGAAAAUGAUACUGGAAAGGUACACUUUCUUAUAACUAAACAUCAUUGCAGCUUUCUAGUCUUCAUUUUUGUUUAUGUGUAUUUCAUCUGUGUUGCUAAUGAUAUUGCCAGUUUUUAUGAUUUUAUGUUGUUAGGUAAAGCAUCCUUAUGUUUCAGGCUAAAAUAGAGCUUUGAUUAAUACUUUUAUCCAGUUUAAAUAAAUAACAACUCUCAAGGUGUAUUAGCUCAAUUAUCUUUUUGAUAGCCUUUAGUCAAUAACGGAUUUUUAAAUUGUUAUGAAUCUGCAACACUUAAUUUCAGGGAAAUUCAAUUAAAAAGUCAUGUCAUAGAAGACAGAAAAAUAUCAGUAUCUGUUUUCAAUAACUUGGCUUUCAUAGCAAAUCUGAGAGACUGUUUACUGUUUGACUCCUGUCCCAAUCCUACCUAGUUGGUUCAAAAAGAAAGGACCACGUUGAAAACAUGAUGGGGUUAAAAGGAGCAGCCCUUUUUGAAUUAAUAGUCGAUAUAAAUAAUAUAAUGGCAUGGUCAUCUAUUUGCAAUUACAAUUAUACAUUGGGUAACACAAAAGCUGAACGUGAUUUGGGUAUAAUGUUUCAAUCCGAUUUAAAAUGGCACUCACAAGUUGAUUCAGCAACCAGCAAAGCAAACAGAAUGUUAGGUACCAUAAA